AUUAUAGAUGUUCAUUUCACUUGCACACAAUUUUGUUUUUGUACAUUUUAUAGUGUAUUUUUGUAUCUUGUAUCAACUCUAAGAAAUUCACAUUUACACAAUGCAUUUUACAUUAGUAGCUAACUACAGAUGACAUUCAGCUUUUUUGGGACCAGGUCUUGAUCUGUCUGUAUCCAGUAAUAAUGUCACAGAGAAUCACAGUGAACCUCCCCAUAGAUUUCAUGUUGUUGCAGAUUACAUGUCCUGUUGCCUCUGAGAUGGAGGUACGUGAUAAAACGUACUGUACAUGCAAAACAUCUGCACAGUUGAGCUGAGUUCUAUUGACAAAUAGCAUAUGUGAGUUUUAGAAUAGUCCUAGGUGACAUGUAAAUGUUUUCAUAAUGCUACAUGACCCUAUUAGUUGCCAGUAUCUAUAGCAUGUUAACAUACAGUAUGUGUUCACUGGCAACCUAUUUGUACUGCAAGUCUCUCUAUACUGGUGCCAGGUUUAUACAGUUUGUUUGAGUCUCCAAGGUUCAUCUAUAGUGCUGACUUUGAUUUACUAAAAACCUUCAUUAUCUCUCAAAAUAUUUAAAAAAAAUCACAUAAAAACACAAAAUAAAUGGAAAACUGCCAAAAAAAAUAUAGUCAAACUUCUGAACUCAAAGACACUGGACACUGUACACAGGCACUUGAACUGUGGUACACUCUUUGAGUGCAUUCAUAUUACGUCUAAUAAGUGCUACAAAAUAACAUCAGUUAGAAAAAAUACUGAUUCCAAAAGUGUAAUACUAUUCAGAAUACAAAUAAAACUGGAAAAGACAAAAAAACACACAAAAAAAAAACAACUCAAAAUUCUGGGCAAACAUAAACCUUAUCCUUGAAUGUGUCUUGCAUAUUUUUUCGGUUUAUAUUCAGGUUGUACAUUCUUACACACAAGCUGUUGGGGAAACAGAAUAAGCUGGUUCAGUGCGCUGCUGGAGGGCUGAUUGGGCCUCAAGGGAAGAUGGAGUCGAGGAGCGAGUGUGUCUUUUUUUUCCCGUUAAAUCAACACUCUGGUCACUCAUACUGUAGCAGAGUCUGCUUUAAUGUCACAGCCACAGCAAGAAGCAGGAUGAAUCAUAGCAGCUCUCUCAAUAGAGGAGUGAAUCAUAGCCUGCCUGCCUGUGUGUGUGUGUGUGUGUGUGUCUGUGUGUGUGUGUCUGUGUCUGUGUGUUUGUGUGUGUGUGUGGUCACAUGCCCACACCACAUCAGCUGUGAGCAAACUAGAGCCGAGGUUCAUCUGCUUCCAUUCAUUACGCUGCAGUGACACAUGAAUCACAAGAGAGGAAAGUUUAAUUGUGUUGAGAUGUUGGCGACCACGUGAUGCAUCCACACAGCAUCGCACAGGAUGUACAGUAAUGACUCACUCUCUCUUUCUUCUCCUCGCUGUAACCUUUCUUAUCUGUGCAGCGUUCAUAAAACUCCACAAGCUCUACUAACAAGUAAACACAUUUCACUUCCCUCUCAGUAGCGGUUUGUGUCCAUAUUCAAGCUCAGAGUAGAAGAUUGGCACCACUUGUGCAGGGAUAAUGGCAUGGAACACCCCUGCAAAAACACUGUUGUGUUUUUAAUUGUAGUUUUUGGAUGAAACAAAUGGGAAUUGAUGAGUUUAUUAAUGAGCUUUGAAGGUGCUGGUUUGUACCUUUGGAAGGAGUCGAGCAAGCUCUUUGUCCUUGUUUCCAGUCUUUAUGCUAAACUGAGUACCUAUGAGUUAUCCAGAAUUCAUUUGGAAUUCAACAACAGCAACAAAAAGGUGGGGAAAAAAACGUCAUAGGUGUCAGAAUAAAUGAAUAAAAUACCAACGAAACACGGUCUAUGUUUGGGUUUUGGCAAUUUUUUGAGUCGUCGCAUGAGUUUUUUGUGUUUCAUUUUCAUCAACCAACAUUUUCUAAGUGAUGCUCAGUUUCUCGUGGAUAUUCCAGGCUCUGGUUGCCUAGGUAACCCUGCCUCCGAGUAAAACGGGCUAGCUUACAUUAGCAAUUCACGUUUGCAUACAGGUUUAAUUUGUUUUAUUUUGCAUAUACGCACUUUAAUAGACAUUAAUAAAUGGAUGAUUUGUUUAUGAACAGUAAAUUGUGAAAAACAAAAAAACUGUAAAAACAAAAAAAUGUCUGUGGUGCCAAAAAAUACUGUAAAAUAACAUGAUGUGUGUAUUUUUUUUGGCUUUUAAAGUGUAGUGAAGCAUAUUUAUGCAUGCCAAAUGAAAUUAUGGAUGGAUGGAUGGAUGGAUGGAUGGAUGCAUGGAUGGAUGCAUGGAUGGAUACUACCAUGUAUUGUGAAUGGGAAUUUGCAGAAAGCAACACUGGAACAUUUCUUUUGGUUUUCUCAGUUUUUGUUUGUCUGAAAGUAAACUUAACUAAAACCCUUCAUGACUUCUGGUUUCCAAACAAAAAAAGGGAAAGGAGUUGCCAAAACCCAAAAAUGCACCAUGCCUUAUUAGUUAUCAUCUUUGACUGUGACUCCUGUGAACUGUCGGUCUGUUUUUGGUUUUAUAAAGAAGAACGGAAUUAUGUUUUUGAAUUGCAAGUGAAUUACAGAUCGCCCAAUGAUACCCAGAGCUGCUGCCUGUAGCUUCAUGGUAUCAAUUUUCUUCAUCCACGUCUCAGCAAGAAGCAUCAAGCUUUAAAACCAUCUGUUCCUGAAUCAUGCUGGAAUUCGAUUACUGUGUCUUUCUUCACGGCUUUAUAUCUCGAUCAUACAUCUAUAGACAAAUGCACUACAAUUUCUUCAUAAUUUUUAGUCACCACAACAAGAGGGACCCUGAGAAGGAGUGUGCCCCUGUAGGAAUGAAAGCAGUGCAGUUCAGCUCAGCUACAGUUUGCUUCUUUUACAAGGUAUCUACUGUUUGUCAGCUGCUUUUACGGAUAUUUGGAGCAGCAGGAGGGGGGCAACAUGAAAGUGGUCCUCAGUGAUAAAAGGUGCCACCCAGCCUUAGAAGUGAGCCUGCUCUAAGUGCUUUUAUAUCACCAUGGCGAUGUAGUAAAUGUCAGCGGCCUCAGCGUUGGAUAAGGGAUCUGUAAUGUCACGUUGAGGCUUCUGCGCUCCGUCGCCUCUGUGCUGUCCGCUGCAUUCAUCCUGAUGGGAGUGGAGCAGAGGGUAAAUGAAGCUGAAACCCUGAGGUAAUUACUACCUGCCUGUCAGGACGUCACUCUAAUGGGCUCAGUGUUGAGCGCCGGUGACAAAGCAUUAGCGCCUCGGCACUGCUUAUCAGACAGAGCUGUAUGCAAGAUGGUAAAAGUGAACAUGUGGAGACUGAAGUGAUUUUUGGAAAGUGUGCCUCUGAGGGGUGUCCCAAUUUUCUGCUCAGUAAGUGUAAAUUAUUCUAGAUGGGAUUCCUUGUUUCAGAUUUUUUUCAUUUAAGCUUUUCUUUUUUUUUUUUUUUUUUUUUAAAUGAUGAUGCCUUCCCUUCCCUCAUUGCAGUGAGUCAGCAGAGCUCCACGGUCCAGAGAUGUUAAACCGGAGGCUCCCUGCUGAAUCAGCCACAAAAUGAAAGUAGCUCACCGCUAACAGGAGGCAAACUUUUGGGGCGUGUUACAUUGUGAGCACAAAAUUGCUGAAACACAACCCCUGGAGGCACCGCGAAGAGGGAUUCAGUCGGCGGGACGCUGUGGAAGAAUACCGAGCGGCCUUGUACAGUAAAUGACGUCACAUCCCGGUCAACGUGGCCUAACAAUGACGCAAAGACAACGUGACACGAAACGCGGGUUGAGCUAUACAAGAAAGUUCAGAAGAAGUUGGGAAUGACUCAUGGCUCCCCUUCUGCUGCUUUUUGUGUCACUGAUGACGGCAGGGGUCUAAUAGAGUGAAUCCUAUGGAGAGAGACAGAGGAUUAUCUGAGAGUAGUGGAAGAAGCAUGAGGGGAAAAAAAAGCUGCUCCACUCUCUUUGAUGUGCAGGAAAAAAGAAAGAAGACAUAAUGUAGUACCUUUCUGCCUAUUUACCUUUCAGGCACAGACGUUUCAUGGCAAGUGGUUACAGAAUUAAAAGCGUAGAAAGGGGCAGAAGAUACUAAACUGGCAGCUACUGACAUACUGGAAUUAAUAGGAGAUGCACUGGCGUCUAUCUACGAUCUGUGUAACACUAGUUAAGAUAGUGGUUGGUAUUGCCGUAGAGGUCGUGUCCAGGCACACUGAAUGACGGAGUUAGACUCUAUAUGCAGGGACGAAGAGUCACACUGUGGCCCAAAGGUGCUGGGAGGUCCGUAAAAGUCAAGUCCGCGGCCACUCGUCAGUUUUUUUACAUUCUCUGCGUGGCCCAACCCUGCUUUUAUUUUGGUCCAGUCUCUUCUCCCUGUCUUCAGCUCCUCUUCCUCCUCCUCCUCGUCUUCCUCAGACUUCAGGAGGAGGUGAGUCGGGCUGGG
Amphiprion ocellaris (clown anemonefish) is the source of this 4380-nucleotide long non-coding RNA. Lineage: Eukaryota; Metazoa; Chordata; Actinopteri; Pomacentridae. The record is from Ensembl.